This 2831-nucleotide long non-coding RNA is filed under the name Homarus americanus (American lobster). RNAcentral's name for it is "uncharacterized LOC121870181". Lineage: Eukaryota; Metazoa; Arthropoda; Malacostraca; Decapoda; Nephropidae. The record is from RNAcentral.
UUCUUUUAUUUUUUUUCACUGUAUGUAUGUAGGAUGGUGUGUGCAUGUAUAUCGGUAAAUGCAAAUGAAAAAAGCUGCGUAUACUAUAUCUACCUGAAAAUACCAGUUGAAAAACAACAGCUUGGCCCACUAGCCUGUUGCCUACAAUGCCGCCACCAAUGUUAACAGAUGUAAUGGUGAAAAGAGAGUUAUCUGUAAAUUUUCAUUUGUAUCAGGUCUUUGUAGAUUUUAAAAUAAAUGUGGCAGGUAUGGCAUUAAUAGAUAGUAAUGCUUGUUCAUAAAUGGUUACUGCUUAGCUGCCUCUCAAGAGUUGGGCAUACAGACGUUAAUUAUCUCGGGUUAUCAUCAGUACAGUAAUUAUAAAUCCGGCUUUUAUUUUUACGAUACGUAAUUAUCUUUUAAUUAAUUAAAAAUAAUGUGUAAAGUUAGGUAGAAUUUAGCCUUCUGGAGACAGCAACUGGGGGAAUUCAUUAGCUUACGGGAGACAACUUCACAAAUAGGACGCAGGCUGAUUUUUUAGCCCCCUUUCAGACAAAAUAGUGUGUCUUAUAUGCCAUAAAAUAUUGUACUCCUAGGGCUCUGCUAUUAGCGCCCAUAACCAGUUCUAAGGGACAACCCUACCACAGGAACCAAACCCAAAAAGGCACCUUUUUGCAAAAUCUGCAUCCAUCCUCAAAUGGGUUCGUCAAGCGUACAAAUUGUAAAAUUCUUUAGAUUCUUCGACACGUGGUGAAUCCGAUGCACAGUUCCUGGAAGGACUGGCUUCCACAAGUAGCAGAAUCCAUCAAUGGAUCUAUCAAUAGCUUUUCAGGAAAAUAGCCAUACUACAUAAUUUAUGGUGCCAAAAGAUGCUUGCUCUAUGAUCAACUAGCAGGAACCCCACAACCUGUAUGCAACAUGGAUGACCAUGCCAAGAAGCAAAUCAAUGUUUUCACAGCAUUCAUGAAAAAGUACAAAAGCAUUUAACAGCCUCACGUGCUGAAAUGAUCUGCAAGCAACAUAAAAACCCAAGCCUGUAACUCCAAAAAUAGGAGACGCAGUAACGACAAAAGCACCGGAACGUACAUCAAAACUUUUGCCUAAAUUCACAGGUCCCUACCUGAUUAAAGGAAAAGAACAUGGAAACAAAUUUCAUGUAGUUGACCCAACGACAAAUGUCACUGACAUAGUUCAUGUAGAUAGAAUGAUAAAAGUUAGCAGACACUUAGUAGGGACCCCUAAUGUCCGUUAAUUACAGCCUACUUCUACUACGACAGUUGCUCAACACAACAAUAAACAAUACAUCACAACAAUAGACAAUAAAUAUCAUCAAAAACUGUGAUCAGCAAACAAAAAACAUUAAUUAUCCUCACCCCUUUCAGGCAUGGCUUGGAUAUCGCUACUCCUGUUGGCAUGGAACGCUGUGGCAACAGCUGCAUCCCCAGCAAACAUCAUCAAAUCCAAAGCUUUAGUUGCCCCACUGAGCAAAGUACUUAUAGUGGAAGAUGUCGUAACUGUCAAGUACCAGCACCAAAGUUUAGUGAUAUAUGCCUGAGGUCAAUAGCUGUCCACAUUGAAACAGCUAUAAGUACACAAGAUCUCAAACAACAGUCUACCAUCUCACUUCAUAACGCCUAUAUGAAGCGUCUACUCAAAUGUGUAUGCACUUGGAGGGAAAGCUGCCCACGACUCCUGAAGACGUCAGGAACAAUGUUCAUUCUCAUAAAAACCGUGGUCUAUUUAAUUUUGUCGAGUUAUUAAGUAACACCCUAUUUGGUACGGCAACUGCAGAAGAUGUAGCUAAACUAGGGAAACGAAUGAACGUCUUAAACAGCAGUAAAAAAAAGUAAUCAACUAACAUGCAUGCAACUGAAGCCUCUGUGCAAGCUUUCACUGUUACCAAUGAUCGGCUCAUAGCCGAUUCAGUGAAUGCAGGUCUAGUCAUGUAGAUGCACAACUAUUGCCGGUUGGUCAAUUUAUUGCCGCUUUACAUAUAGCUCACGGUCGCUACCUAAUGAUACUGGACACAGAAAUAGUCCAGGUAUGAAUCCCUGGGAAGGAUCUCAUUUACCUAACAAGAGUAGUGUGCACCUUGGUGCUAACAAUCAGCUGCAGUACCUGUGUAUAUUAUUAUUAGUAGUUUAUAUAUGCACAAAAAUGAAGGUCAGAUUUGAGUCAAACACCAAAAGUACACACGAAAGAAAACUUAUUCUUAUACCAAAAAAGCCAACCCACCAAACUUAACCUAACUUAUAGGGAAAUGAAGAGAAAACACGGGCUUAGUGAGGAGUAUAACCUCAGGUAAACAUGGCCUGCGGACAGUCAAUGGAUUAACCUUCCUUUUGUCAGAAAGUAAAAAUUCACCUAGGAAUCUUUUUCUUGUGUAAUAAACAACAGAAAUAUGGUUAGUUAUCAUGACUUUUGUUAUAGAGGAUAAUAAAUAACACGAUACAGUAUGUCCACCUGUGCUUGACGACUCCACUACCUGUGCUUGAUGACCCCACACCUGUGUUGACGACGACCCAACAUAAUCUACUAAAUUAACCAUUAAAUUCGUUUUAUCUCGCCACAAUAUUAUAUAUAAUAAGCACUUGGCAUUAUAAUUAUUAUAUAUCUGAUAUAAUAUUGUUAUUAAAUGUGUUACCAAGGGCUCAGCCAGUUGUUUCCUGGACUGUCAAAUGGUUCUUUACACUCCAAGUCCGCCAUGUUUGCUUCACUAGGUACGAGGCUUGGCACUCUUGGCCUCACGCACCUAAAACAAAAAUAACAAAAGUUUAUAAUUUAUUUAAUCUGUACAUUAAUGUAUAAUAGAAUGUGUUUGCAUUAAGAUAGAAUAAAAAAAUAUGUUUCUA